This 461-nucleotide ribosomal RNA is filed under the name uncultured bacterium. Its description in RNAcentral is "partial 16S ribosomal RNA". It matches the Rfam family "Bacterial small subunit ribosomal RNA", at positions 338 to 795 of the family's 1533-position model. The record is from RNAcentral.
CCUACGGGUGGCUGCAGUGAGGAAUAUUGGUCAAUGGGCGGAAGCCUGAACCAGCCAAGUCGCGUGAGGGAGUAAGGCCCUACGGGUCGUAAACCUCUUUUGCCGGGGAGCAGUGCCCAGCUCGUGAGCUGGGAGGUAGCGUACCCGGAGAAAAAGCAUCGGCUAACUCCGUGCCAGCAGCCGCGGUAAUACGGAGGGUGCGAGCGUUAUCCGGAUUUAAUGGGUUUAAAGGGUGCGGAGGCGGAUCUUCAGGCCGGCGGUGAAAUUUGGGGGCUCAAGCCCGCCGGAGCCGUGGAAACCGGGGGCCUUGAGUACCGGAGAGGUACGCGGAAUGCGUGGUGUAGCGGUGAAAUGCAUAGAUAUCACGAAGAACCCCGAUUGCGAAGGCAGCGUACCGGACGGUAACUGACGCUGAGGCACGAAAGCGCGGGUAUCGAACAGGAUUAGAUACCCCAGUAGUC